This 76-nucleotide transfer RNA is filed under the name Chloroflexota bacterium. RNAcentral describes it as "tRNA-Lys". It matches the Rfam family "tRNA". From Rfam's summary of the family: Transfer RNA (tRNA) molecules are approximately 80 nucleotides in length. Their secondary structure includes four short double-helical elements and three loops (D, anti-codon, and T loops). RNAcentral also lists the same sequence under 2 other names. Lineage: Bacteria; Bacillati; Chloroflexota. The record is from RNAcentral.
GUGCCCGUAGCUCAGUCGGUAGAGCAUGCGACUUUUAAUCGUAGGGUCCCGGGUUCGAGUCCCGGCGGGCACACCA